GCCGCGUUGGCGUAGUGGUAGCGCGUCGCACUUGUAAUGCGAAGGUCACUAGUUCAAAUCUGGUACGUGGCA
Molecule: non-coding RNA, 72 nt
Organism: Cristinia sonorae
Lineage: Eukaryota; Fungi; Basidiomycota; Agaricomycetes; Agaricales; Stephanosporaceae
Source: the annotation of a GenBank genome assembly